CGGUGUAGCUCAGUGGUAGAGCACCUCACUCGUAAUGAGGUGGCCGUCGGUUCGAUCCCGACCACC
This 66-nucleotide transfer RNA is filed under the name marine eukaryotic metagenome. It matches the Rfam family "tRNA". Rfam says of the family: Transfer RNA (tRNA) molecules are approximately 80 nucleotides in length. Their secondary structure includes four short double-helical elements and three loops (D, anti-codon, and T loops). The record is from RNAcentral.